RNAcentral lists this ribosomal RNA (492 nucleotides) under uncultured bacterium. RNAcentral's name for it is "partial 16S ribosomal RNA". It matches the Rfam family "Bacterial small subunit ribosomal RNA", at positions 29 to 507 of the family's 1533-position model. The record is from RNAcentral.
AGUGAACGCUGGCGGUAGGCCUAACACAUGCAAGUCGAACGGCAGCACAGUAAGAGCUUGCUCUUACGGGUGGCGAGUGGCGGACGGGUGAGGAAUACAUCGGAAUCUACUUUUUCGUGGGGGAUAACGUAGGGAAACUUACGCUAAUACCGCAUACGACCUACGGGCGAAAGCAGGGGAUCUUCGGACCUUGCGCGAUUGAAUGAGCCGAUGUCGGAUUAGCUAGUUGGCGGGGUAAAGGCCCACCAAGGCGACGAUCCGUAGCUGGUCUGAGAGGAUGAUCAGCCACACUGGAACUGAGACACGGUCCAUACUCCUACGGGAGGCAGCAGUGGGGAAUAUUGGACAAAGGGCGCAAGCCUGAUCCAGCAAUACCGCGUGGGUGAAGAAGGCCUUCUGGUUGUAAAGCCCUUUUGUUGGGAAAGAAAAGCAGCAGGUUAAUACCCCGCUGUUCUGACGGUACCCAAAGAAUAAGCACCGGCUAACUUCGUG